CCUCACUUCAAUACAUUCGAAUGGCUUGGAAUUCUAACUAUGAAUUCUCAGUUCUGUGCCUGUCUUUCCUUCCUGGAGACACUACGCAUUCCAACUCUGCAGGGUCUCCAGCACGUGUGGAAUGGCCACCGUUGAAGCAGAACUUACUCUUACUGUCCAGCUUACCCGGUUUCUGAGAAUGAGAGGGCUGAACAAGCCUCCCUCACCCACCCUGCCCACCUCUGGGGUGAGCAGGGAUGAGCAGCUCAAGACAACUGCUCUUCUCUCAUCCCAGCCCAGACAGCCCAGACAGUCCAGGCAUGUCCUACCCACUAGCACAGGAGGGAAACUUCUGAGGCCUUUGCCACCCCGGGCUCUGGGCAGAGCAGCCUGGGCAUCACCUGGCCGAUCCUUGGAAGGUAGCUUCGCCAGUCCCACCCAGGCCGACUGGCCAGUGCUGCGUGUCUCUGGCCCGAAAGUUGGAGAAGCGCUGAAUCUGCAGGAUUCCGUGAUCACUUAGAUCAGAGGUGACAGCCCACGAGGCUGCUGGGACUAACCAACGCCACCAUGAAGAGCUUCACCGUGCAGAGAGAGUUCUCACAGCAGCCCUGGGACAUGGGCCUUAUCAGCCCCAUUUUACAGAGGAAGGAAUGAGGCUCAAAGAGGACAGUCAGGAACUUAGAAGCCAUUUUUGUUAUGGUCUGCAGAUGCCAAAUAGGAUCUCAUCCCCUUCCUGACUGAGGACACCAAAAGAAGAGGUUUAAAGGGUCUUCAGCGGCACCCAAAGGCCUGCAGCUGUUGUCCUGAACCUGUGAUCACCAGGGUUCUAGGGAAGGUAAAGCCCACCUGACUGAAAUGGCCACAGGCAGGAACAGUCCUUCCCUGGGAGAUUCGAGAACUAUGACCCCAGGACUGAGGAAAGGGUCAGCCAGGCCCCAGCCCACCAGGUAACCUUUGAGAGCUGCCUUCCUGCCUCUGUGGGUGGGUCAGUCCGAACCCCUGCAUCAGAGUGUAUCCCUGUAUCCUUCCCUAUCUUCCCUCUCACUUGCCAAUUCAAUAUCUGUUUUCUGUAAAUUUGUGUUUCAUUUUAAUUUCCAAUUCUAUUCAAGCAAUGACCCACAAUAG
Molecule: long non-coding RNA, 1104 nt
Organism: Heterocephalus glaber (naked mole-rat)
Lineage: Eukaryota; Metazoa; Chordata; Mammalia; Rodentia; Bathyergidae
Source: Ensembl